RNAcentral lists this ribosomal RNA (441 nucleotides) under uncultured bacterium. RNAcentral's name for it is "partial 16S ribosomal RNA". It matches the Rfam family "Bacterial small subunit ribosomal RNA", at positions 338 to 795 of the family's 1533-position model. The record is from RNAcentral.
CCUACGGGUGGCAGCAGUGGGGAAUAUUGCACAAUGGGCGAAAGCCUGAUGCAGCAACGCCGCGUGAAGGAAGAAGGCCUUCGGGUCGUAAACUUCUGUCCUUGGGGAAGAAGAACUGACGGUACCCAAGGAGGAAGCCCCGGCUAACUACGUGCCAGCAGCCGCGGUAAUACGUAGGGGGCAAGCGUUAUCCGGAUUUAUUGGGUUUAAAGGGUGCGUAGGCGGAAUAUCAAGUCAGCGGUAAAAAUUCGGGGCUCAACCCCGUCGUGCCGUUGAAACUGAUGUUCUUGAGUGGGCGAGAAGUAUGCGGAAUGCGUGGUGUAGCGGUGAAAUGCAUAGAUAUCACGCAGAACUCCGAUUGCGAAGGCAGCAUACCGGCGCCCAACUGACGCUGAAGCACGAAAGCGUGGGUAUCGAACAGGAUUAGAUACCCUAGUAGUC